Molecule: ribosomal RNA, 496 nt
Filed under: uncultured bacterium
Lineage: Bacteria
Description: partial 16S ribosomal RNA
Rfam family: Bacterial small subunit ribosomal RNA
Source: RNAcentral
AUGAACGCUGGCGGCGUGCCUAAUCCCUGCCAGUCGAGCGAACAGACGAGGAGCUUGCUCCUCUGACGCUAGCGGCGGACGGGUGAGUAACACGUGGAUAACCUACCUAUAAGACUGGGAUAACUUCGGGAAACCGGAGCUAAUACCGGAUAAUAUAUUGAACCGCAUGGUUCAAUAGUGAAAGACGGUUUUGCUGUCACUUAUAGAUGGAUCCGCGCCGCAUUAGCUAGUUGGUAAGGUAACGGCUUACCAAGGCAACGAUGCGUAGCCGACCUGAGAGGGUGAUCGGCCACACUGGAACUGAGACACGGUCCAGACUCCUACGGGAGGCAGCAGUAGGGAAUCUUCCGCAAAGGGCGAAAGCCUGACGGAGCAACGCCGCGUGAGUGAUGAAGGUCUUCGGAUCGUAAAACUCUGUUAUUAGGGAAGAACAAAUGUGUAAGUAACUAUGCACGUCUUGACGGUACCUAAUCAGAAAGCCACGGCUAACUACGUG